UAAGGGCGGUGAAGUCAGACCGGAAGGACUGGUGGAGCGCUUAGAAGUGAGAAUGCCGGUAUGAGUAGCGAAAGAAGGGUGAGAAUCCCUUCCACCGAAUAUCUAAGGUUUCCUGAGGAAGGCUCGUCCGCUCAGGGUUAGUCGGGACCUAAGCCGAGGCCGAUAGGCGUAGGCGAUGGACAACAGGUAGAGAUUCCUGUACCAGUGCUAAUUGUUUAACCGAUGGGGUGACACAGAAGGAUAGGGAAUCGCACGAAUGGAAAUGUGCGUCCAAGCAGUGAGUGUGAGAAGUAGGCAAAUCCGCUUCUCGCGAAGCAUGAGCUGUGAUGGGGAAGGAAAUUAAGUACGGAAGUUCCUGAUUUCACGCUGUCAAGAAAAGCCUCUAGGAAGAGUAGUACUGCCCGUACCGCAAACCGACACAGGUAGAUGAGGAGAGAAUCCUAAGGUGAGCGAGAGAACUCUCGUUAAGGAACUCGGCAAAAUGACCCCGUAACUUCGGGAGAAGGGGUGCUCUAUUAGGGUGCAAGCCCGAGAGAGCCGCAGUGAAUAGGCCCAGGCGACUGUUUAGCAAAAACACAGGUCUCUGCAAAACCGUAAGGUGACGUAUAGGGGCUGACGCCUGCCCGGUGCUGGAAGGUUAAGAGGAGUGCUUAGCUUCGGCGAAGGUACGAAUUGAAGCCCCAGUAAACGGCGGCCGUAACUAUAACGGUCCUAAGGUAGCGAAAUUCCUUGUCGGGUAAGUUCCGA
This 747-nucleotide ribosomal RNA is filed under the name Listeria monocytogenes. Its description in RNAcentral is "partial 23S ribosomal RNA". It matches the Rfam family "Bacterial large subunit ribosomal RNA", at positions 1242 to 1986 of the family's 2925-position model. Lineage: Bacteria; Bacillati; Bacillota; Bacilli; Caryophanales; Listeriaceae. The record is from RNAcentral.